CCGAAGUUACCUUCAAAACCCACUGUGAACCUUACCUCUUGCCGCGUUGUCUCGGCGGGAGGCGGUGGGCGUCGCGCGCCCCCUAGCGGGCCGUGCCGCUCCCGUCCCCGCCGGCGGCGCCAAACUCUAAAUUUACAGCGGACUGUACGUUCUGAUUUACAAAAAAAACAAGUUAAAACUUUCAACAACGGAUCUCUUGGUUCUGGCAUCGAUGAAGAACGCAGCGAAAUGCGAUAAGUAAUGUGAAUUGCAGAAUUCAGUGAACCAUCGAAUCUUUGAACGCACAUUGCGCCCGGCAGUAAUCUGCCGGGCAUGCCUGUCCGAGCGUCAUUUCUGCCCUCGAGCGAAGUUUCCAGCGUCCAGGCGCUGGAGGCCCGCCCGGCGUUGGGGCACUACGGUAGAGCCCUGUGCUGUCCGUAGGCCCUGAAAUGAAGUGGCGGUCCUGCCGCGGCGCCCCCUGCGUAGUAUAACAGCUCGCUUCGGGACCCGGUGGAGGCCUGCCGUCAAACCUAUAUUCUCUAAG
This 523-nucleotide unclassified non-coding RNA is filed under the name uncultured Cephalotrichum. Its description in RNAcentral is "sequence contains ITS1, 5.8S rRNA gene, ITS2". The stretch from base 177 to 330 matches the Rfam family "5.8S ribosomal RNA". Lineage: Eukaryota; Fungi; Ascomycota; Sordariomycetes; Microascales; Microascaceae. The record is from RNAcentral.